UGAAAAGCCUUCAUCACUGACUUCUCAUGAGGACAAAGCUUUGUCUUUUUUCCUCCAUCAUAUGGUGUGUAUUCUACUAAAAAGAAAAGAAGAAAAAUUACAUUCAUUUAAAACUCUAAUGUAAAAAUAACUGCCCUCAACACACUUUCUCCCACCCAAAGGAAGUUAUUGGCAGAAUAAACAAACCAUGGGAACUUGGGAAAGAAGCAUGAGCCAGAAGUAGCAGGUUCACACUCUUCAUGGCUUUCAUCUAAGUCUUUACUAAUGCAGUCAUUGUGUGGAGGUCUCAUGUAACUCUUGAAACUUUGCUGAUAAUUAUUUCAUUUCUGUUUUCUUUUCCUACAAUUGCAAAUUUCAAGAAAUCAUUAAGAAAUCUGGAAAAGGCUCUGCUGCAGGAACCCAGUUCAAGAAAAUUGUUCACUUUUUGAAAGAGGAAGCGCUCAUAGAGUGGUUUGGGUAGGAAGGGUCUUUAAAAGUCAUCCAGUCCCAAAUGCCUUGCCAUGAAUUUAAAUUUAGACACCUCCAACCUGUUCCAGUGCCUCACCAUCCUCUGAGUAAAGAAUUUCUUCCUAAUGUCUAAUCAAAACCUAUCUUUUUUUUUGUUGUUGUUUGUUUAAAGCUGUUAUCUCUUGUC
RNAcentral lists this long non-coding RNA (634 nucleotides) under Gallus gallus (chicken). The record is from RNAcentral. Lineage: Eukaryota; Metazoa; Chordata; Aves; Galliformes; Phasianidae.